CAAGUAAAUCGCCUUAUCGCUGAAUGUUCAAUUUAAUUGGACAAUUGGAGGAAAGUCCGAACACCGUAGUGCAACAUAAUGGUUAAUGGCCAUCGGUCGUGAGAUCAGGAAAAGUGCAACAGAAAGUAUGUACAGGUCAUGCUGUAGUGAAACCAGGUAAACUCUAUGUGGUGCAAUGUCAUGUAAACCAACGCUGCUUGCUCGCUGUUUGUUUUUAACAGAUAGUGGCAGGCGAGAGGGCGGCACGCUCGAUUGUUGGAGGGUAGACAGCUAAAGUGUGCUGGCAACAGUACACUCAGAUAAAUGAUAAGGGUCGCGGCUCGAUAAUUAUCGGGAACGUGAUACAGAAUUCGGCUUAUAGAUUUACUUAAACA
This 374-nucleotide RNase P RNA is filed under the name Gelidibacter salicanalis. RNAcentral's name for it is "Bacterial RNase P class A". It matches the Rfam family "Bacterial RNase P class A". Rfam says of the family: Ribonuclease P (RNase P) is a ubiquitous endoribonuclease, found in archaea, bacteria and eukarya as well as chloroplasts and mitochondria. Its best characterised activity is the generation of mature 5'-ends of tRNAs by cleaving the 5'-leader elements of precursor-tRNAs. Cellular RNase Ps are ribonucleoproteins. The record is from Rfam by way of RNAcentral. Lineage: Bacteria; Pseudomonadati; Bacteroidota; Flavobacteriia; Flavobacteriales; Flavobacteriaceae.